AAGCGCUUACAACCAGACUUGUGAAUUGCAGUUCUACCUGGGUUUUCCCAGGCUUAUUCUGUUUUUCCAGGCCAGCAUCAGUUUGGGUGGUUAGUUAAAGGCUUAGGGAAUGUAUCUACUCUUCGGGGUCGACUUAUAGCCCUAGGUGUCAUGUAACCUACCUGGACUGAGGAACGCGCAUCUGCUCGGAUGCUGGCGUAAUGGUUGUCAGCGA
Molecule: ribosomal RNA, 214 nt
Filed under: Chaetothyriales sp.
Lineage: Eukaryota; Fungi; Ascomycota; Eurotiomycetes; Chaetothyriales
Description: partial large subunit ribosomal RNA
Source: RNAcentral